This 1171-nucleotide ribosomal RNA is filed under the name uncultured bacterium. RNAcentral's name for it is "bacterial SSU rRNA". It matches the Rfam family "Bacterial small subunit ribosomal RNA", at positions 40 to 1176 of the family's 1533-position model. The record is from RNAcentral.
CGGCGUGCCUAAUACAUGCAAGUCGAACGCACUGACGUCGACAGAAGGUGCUUGCACUGGAAGUUGAUUGACGUGAGUGGCGGACGGGUGAGUAACACGUGGGUAACCUGCCCUUAAGCGGGGGAUAACAUUUGGAAACAGAUGCUAAUACCGCAUAAAAGUUGAGAUCACAUGGUCUUAAUUUGAAAGACGGCCUUUGGCUGUCACUUAAGGAUGGACCCGCGGCGUAUUAGCUAGUUGGUGAGAUAAUAGCCCACCAAGGCGAUGAUACGUAGCCGACCUGAGAGGGUAAUCGGCCACAUUGGGACUGAGACACGGCCCAAACUCCUACGGGAGGCAGCAGUAGGGAAUCUUCCACAAUGGACGAAAGUCUGAUGGAGCAACGCCGCGUGAGUGAAGAAGGUUUUCGGAUCGUAAAACUCUGUUGUUGGAGAAGAACAGGGACUAGAGUAACUGUUAGUCCUUUGACGGUAUCCAACCAGAAAGCCACGGCUAACUACGUGCCAGCAGCCGCGGUAAUACGUAGGUGGCAAGCGUUGUCCGGAUUUAUUGGGCGUAAAGCGAGCGCAGGCGGUUUCUUAAGUCUGAUGUGAAAGCCUUCGGCUUAACCGAAGAAGUGCAUCAGAUACUGGGAAACUUGAGUACAGAAGAGGAAAGUGGAACUCCAUGUGUAGCGGUGAAAUGCGUAGAUAUAUGGAAGAACACCAGUGGCGAAGGCGGCUUUCUGGUCUGUAACUGACGCUGAGGCUCGAAAGUAUGGGGAGCGAACAGGAUUAGAUACCCUGGUAGUCCAUACCGUAAACGAUGAAUGCUAAGUGUUGGAGGGUUUCCGCCCUUCAGUGCUGCAGCUAACGCAUUAAGCAUUCCGCCUGGGGAGUACGACCGCAAGGUUGAAACUCAAAGGAAUUGACGGGGGCCCGCACAAGCGGUGGAGCAUGUGGUUUAAUUCGAAGCUACGCGAAGAACCUUACCAGGUCUUGACAUCUAGCGCCAAUCCUAGAGAUAGGACGUUCCCUUCGGGGACGCUAAGACAGGUGGUGCAUGGUUGUCGUCAGCUCGUGUCGUGAGAUGUUGGGUUAAGUCCCGCAACGAGCGCAACCCUUAUGAUUAGUUGCCAGCAUUUAGUUGGGCACUCUAAUCAGACUGCCGGUGACAAACCGGAGGAAGGUGG